Mus musculus (house mouse) is the source of this 962-nucleotide long non-coding RNA. RefSeq annotates it as predicted gene, 52803. The transcript has 5 exons. The record is from RefSeq and is a predicted model, not a curated record. Lineage: Eukaryota; Metazoa; Chordata; Mammalia; Rodentia; Muridae.
UUCUCAAUCAAUCCCAGUUUAUUCAGUCCAAGAGUGCUCCCUAUAUUCAAGAGCUGACAUAGAUGAAUCUUUAGUCAUGGACUGAAGAGAUAAAUGAGAAAAACAAAGAGUUCCCAUGGAAUAAUCAUCAGAUUUUAUGCUUCACCAGUUCCUGUCACUUCCCAAUAGCAUGAUGCUGAAGACUGGAUUUUACUAUGUAAACGUUUUCAAGACACUGAAGAUUUGAAGUAUUUUUUAAUAUAGCCAACUUUUCUCAUAACAAGUCCUUUAUUUGAAUCAGGCAAAUAUGCAAACAGAAUGCUGUUGUAAGACUCCAGGGAGCCUUAGCUUUCUGGAGAUCCUGUGAAUAAAACACAUGAAGCUGGGAUUGAUGCAAAAAGCAAGAGGAAUCUAUUGUUCCUGUGCACCAGGUUCGUCCCAGACCCAAAGGAGAGGCAGUGGCCCCCAGCACCCAACUGCCCCCAGACUAGAGAUGAACCUACUACAUUGUGAAUGCUGGCAAAUACUCUACAACUGUAUUACAUCCCAGGGCUGGAACCCAACUCAUCUUCUGCAACAAUUACAGGCAGGCUGGAUGAAGACACUCAACCUACACUGUAGCCAUCUCAUGAAUGGUUCAUGAGAAUGGCUUCCAAAAUGAUUUCAAGACUGAGAAUGUUUAGCUAUCUGGGAGAGAAAAUAAGGAGACUCAGUCUACACUGUACAUUAAGGACUGUUUAUUCUGUUAAAGGCUGACAUAGAUUAUUGACUCAUGUCACAUGUGAAAGUAAAUAAAAAUCCAGGUUAAUGUAUGCAUCUGGUAGGAUUUACCAAACACACCACCAUACAUGAGUGGACUUAGAAAGACCCAGGCCCCUCAGGGUUCUAAGGUAUUCAAGGAGUCCCCACAAAUACAAUAGUAACAUGCUAGUGUAGUCUAAAUUUUCUCUCACUGGUCUCACCUUAGUUCUAGUGUACUGCUG